GUUGCAGCGAGGAGAAGCGCAGCGACGGCGUCGGGAGAGCGCGCCUAGCUGGCCGGUGAAUGUUCAGCCUGUUGCCUAUGAAGAGCCUAAACAUUGGUGUUCAAUAGUCUACUAUGAAUUAAACAAUCGUGUUGGAGAAGCUUUUCAUGCAUCUUCUACUAGUGUGUUAGUAGAUGGAUUCACAGAUCCUUCAAAUAACAAAAGUAGAUUCUGCUUGGGUUUGUUGUCAAACGUUAAUCGUAAUUCGACAAUUGAAAACACUAGGCGACAUAUUGGAAAAGGUGUUCAUCUGUACUAUGUUGGUGGGGAGGUGUAUGCGGAAUGCCUCAGUGACAGCAGCAUAUUUGUACAGAGUAGGAACUGCAACUUUCAUCAUGGCUUUCAUCCCACCACUGUCUGUAAGAUUCCCAGCAGCUGCAGCCUCAAAAUUUUUAACAAUCAGGAGUUUGCUCAGCUUCUGGCUCAGUCUGUCAACCAUGGGUUUGAGGCAGUAUAUGAGCUCACCAAAAUGUGUACCAUUCGGAUGAGUUUUGUCAAGGGUUGGGGAGCAGAAUAUCACCGGCAGGAUGUAACCAGCACCCCAUGUUG
RNAcentral lists this small RNA (588 nucleotides) under Pongo abelii (Sumatran orangutan). RNAcentral's name for it is "processed transcript". The record is from RNAcentral. Lineage: Eukaryota; Metazoa; Chordata; Mammalia; Primates; Hominidae.